RNAcentral lists this ribosomal RNA (1492 nucleotides) under metagenome. RNAcentral's name for it is "bacterial SSU rRNA". It matches the Rfam family "Bacterial small subunit ribosomal RNA". The record is from RNAcentral.
AGAGUUUGAUCCUGGCUCAGGAUGAACGCUAGCUACAGGCUUAACACAUGCAAGUCGAGGGGAAACGAUAUUGGAAACUUGCUUCCGAUAGGCGUCGACCGGCGCACGGGUGAGUAACGCGUAUCCAACCUGCCCACCACUUGGGGAUAACCUUGCGAAAGUAAGACUAAUACCCAAUGAUAUCUCUAGAAGACAUCUGAAAGAGAUUAAAGAUUUAUCGGUGAUGGAUGGGGAUGCGUCUGAUUAGCUUGUUGGCGGGGUAACGGCCCACCAAGGCAACGAUCAGUAGGGGUUCUGAGAGGAAGGUCCCCCACAUUGGAACUGAGACACGGUCCAAACUCCUACGGGAGGCAGCAGUGAGGAAUAUUGGUCAAUGGACGAGAGUCUGAACCAGCCAAGUAGCGUGCAGGAAGACGGCCCUAUGGGUUGUAAACUGCUUUUAUAAGGGAAUAAAGUGAGAGUCGUGACUCUUUUUGCAUGUACCUUAUGAAUAAGGACCGGCUAAUUCCGUGCCAGCAGCCGCGGUAAUACGGAAGGUCCGGGCGUUAUCCGGAUUUAUUGGGUUUAAAGGGAGCGUAGGCCGGAGAUUAAGCGUGUUGUGAAAUGUAGACGCUCAACGUCUGCACUGCAGCGCGAACUGGUUUCCUUGAGUACGCACAAAGUGGGCGGAGUUCGUGGUGUAGCGGUGAAAUGCUUAGAUAUCACGAAGAACUCCGAUUGCGAAGGCAGCUCACUGGAGCGCAACUGACGCUGAAGCUCGAAAGUGCGGGUAUCGAACAGGAUUAGAUACCCUGGUAGUCCGCACGGUAAACGAUGGAUGCCCGCUGUUGGUCUGAAUAGGUCAGCGGCCAAGCGAAAGCAUUAAGCAUCCCACCUGGGGAGUACGCCGGCAACGGUGAAACUCAAAGGAAUUGACGGGGGCCCGCACAAGCGGAGGAACAUGUGGUUUAAUUCGACGCAACGCGAAGAACCUUACCAAGUCUUGACAUCCCUUGACGAUGCUGGAAACAGUAUUUCUCUUCGGAGCAAGGAGACAGGUGGUGCAUGGUUGUCGUCAGCUCGUGUCGUGAGAUGUUGGGUUAAGUCCCGCAACGAGCGCAACCCUUAUGGUCAGUUACUACGCAAGAGGACUCUGGCCAGACUGCCGUUGACAAAACGGAGGAAGGUGGGGAUGACGUCAAAUCAUCAUGCCCUUUAUGACUUGGGCUACACACGUACUACAAUGGCGUUAAACAAAGAGAAGCAAGACCGCAAGGUGGAGCAAAACUCAGAAACAACGUCCCAGUUCGGACUGCAGGCUGCAACUCGCCUGCACGAAGUCGGAAUUGCUAGUAAUCGUGGAUCAGCAUGCCACGGUGAAUACGUUCCCGGGCCUUGUACACACCGCCCGUCACACCAUGAGAGCCGGGGGGACCCGAAGUCGGUAGUCUAACCGCAAGGAGGACGCCGCCGAAGGUAAAACUGGUGAUUGGGGUGAAGUCGUAACAAGGUA